GACGAACGCUGGCGGCGUGCUUAACACAUGCAAGUCGAACGGAAAGGCCCUGCUUUUGUGGGGUGCUCGAGUGGCGAACGGGUGAGUAACACGUGAGUAACCUGCCCUUGACUUUGGGAUAACUUCAGGAAACUUGGGCUAAUACCGGAUAGGAGCUCCUGCUGCAUGGUGGGGGUUGGAAAGUUUCGGCGGUUGGGGAUGGACUCGCGGCUUAUCAGCUUGUUGGUGGGGUAGUGGCUUACCAAGGCUUUGACGGGUAGCCGGCCUGAGAGGGUGACCGGACAAACUGGGACGGAGAUACGGCACAGACUCCUACGGGAGGCAGCAGUGGGGAAUAUUGCACAAUGGGCGGAAGCCUGAUGCAGCAACGCCGCGUGCGGGAUGACGGCCUUCGGGUUGUAAACCGCUUUCGCCUGUGACGAAGCGUGAGUGACGGUAAUGGGUAAAGAAGCACCGGCUAACUACGUG
Molecule: ribosomal RNA, 468 nt
Filed under: uncultured bacterium
Lineage: Bacteria
Description: partial 16S ribosomal RNA
Rfam family: Bacterial small subunit ribosomal RNA
Source: RNAcentral